AUUGAACGCUGGCGGCAUGCCUUACACAUGCAAGUCGAACGGCAGCACGGGAGCAAUCCUGGUGGCGAGUGGCGAACGGGUGAGUAAUAUAUCGGAACGUGCCCAGUCGUGGGGGAUAACGCAGCGAAAGCUGUGCUAAUACCGCAUACGAUCUACGGAUGAAAGCGGGGGAUCGCAAGACCUCGCGCGAUUGGAGCGGCCGAUAUCAGAUUAGCUAGUUGGUGAGGUAAAGGCUCACCAAGGCGACGAUCUGCAGCUGGUCUGAGAGGACGAACGGCCACACUGGGACUGAGACACGGUCCAGACUCCUACGGGAGGCAGCAGUGGGGAAUUUUGGACAAUGGGCGAAAGCCUGAUCCAGCAAUGCCGCGUGCAGGAUGAAGGCCUUCGGGUUGUAAACUGCUUUUGUACGGAACGAAACGGUGAGCUCUAAUACAGUUUGCUAAUGACGGUACCGUAAGAAUAAGCACCGGCUAACUACGUGCCAGCAGCCGCAGUAA
Molecule: ribosomal RNA, 500 nt
Filed under: uncultured bacterium
Lineage: Bacteria
Description: partial 16S ribosomal RNA
Rfam family: Bacterial small subunit ribosomal RNA
Source: RNAcentral